CAAGGAUGCCUUUACAUCGGGCUCCGAAUUUGAUUUAAUCAACUCCAAUUUUAUUGGUUUGUGUCAGAGUCGGUUCCUCUAUCUAUCAAGCUUUAUCAAGAUUGCUCUUAACGAUAUUAGUUCCUUCAUCAAGAUUUUUUUUUUCUAAAAAGAAUACCUUAAGAUUCAUGAACAUCUCAUAUCCAUCUGAAAGGUAGAAAGAAUAUCUCUAAAAUAAUAUUUAUCAGGCCAAGAUCCAAGCUAGUCAGUUUGUGAAUAUUUCACACAAAUUUGACAUCCCAAACUCUAAGAUAAAGGAGUAUCGAAUUACCCAAGUCCUCAUAUAAAAUUUUGAUGAUCGAUUUGCUCGAAAUGUUCUCGAGUACAUAUCUAGUAGUCUUUAAAAUAUGACCUCAGGCAGACUAGCAAACCCCAUAGUGGACCGAAUCAUAUCUAAUAAGAUUUAAUUCUUCUUUUCAGACAUCUUUUUAAAUAGUGAUGUCUCA
Molecule: long non-coding RNA, 485 nt
Filed under: Elaeis guineensis (African oil palm)
Lineage: Eukaryota; Viridiplantae; Streptophyta; Magnoliopsida; Arecales; Arecaceae
Description: long non-coding RNA (EGUI_LNC043089)
Source: RNAcentral